UUAAGCAUAUCAAUAAGCGGAGGAAAAGAAACCAACAGGGAUUGCCUCAGUAACGGCGAGUGAAGCGGCAACAGCUCAAAUUUGAAAUCUGGCCCCGUCGGGGUCCGAGUUGUAAUUUGUAGAGAGUGUUUCGGGUGAGACCACGGUCUAAGUCUAUUGGAACAUGGCGUCAUAGAGGGUGAGAAUCCCGUAUGUGACUGUGGCUCGAGCCCAUGUGAAGCCUCUUCGACGAGUCGAGUUGUUUGGGAAUGCAGCUCAAAAUGGGUGGUAAAUUUCAUCUAAAGCUAAAUACUGGCUGGAGACCGAUAGCGCACAAGUAGAGUGAUCGAAAGAUGAAAAGCACUUUGGAAAGAGAGUCAAAAAGUACGUGAAAUUGUUGAAAGGGAAGCGCUUGCAACCAGACCUGUCCGUAGGUGAUCAGCCGCUGUUCUCAGUGGUGCACUCGCUCUGCGAUCAGGCCAGCAUCGGUUCCGGCGGUCGGAUAAAGGCCUUGGGAAUGUAGCUCCUUUCGGGGAGUCUUAUAGCCCUCGGUGCAAUGCGGCCAGCCGGGACCGAGGACCGCGCUUCGGCUAGGAUGCUGGCGUAAUGGUUGUAAGCGACCCGUCUUGAAACACGGACCAAGGAGUCUAACAUCUAUGCGAGUGUUUGGGUGUCAAACCCAUGCGCGGAAUGAAAGUGAACGGAGGUGAGAACCCUUUAGGGCGCAUCAUCGACCGAUCCAGAUGUCUUCGGAUGGAUUUGAGUAUGAGCAUAGCUGUUGGGACCCGAAAGAUGGUGAACUAUGCCUGAAUAGGGUGAAGCCAGAGGAAACUCUGGUGGAGGCUCGCAGCGGUUCUGACGUG
Molecule: ribosomal RNA, 842 nt
Filed under: Usnea silesiaca
Lineage: Eukaryota; Fungi; Ascomycota; Lecanoromycetes; Lecanorales; Parmeliaceae
Description: eukaryotic LSU rRNA
Rfam family: Eukaryotic large subunit ribosomal RNA
Source: RNAcentral